AUGGGAAACAGGGUGAAGCAGAGAAGCAGGACCCGGCGGUGGCAAGCACUCUUCCCUUUCCUGCUGCCUUUGUUCUGCAGGGCACCCUCGGAGCAGAUCCGCUACUCUAUUCCAGAAGAAACGGUCCAGGACUCCGUGGUGGGGAACCUUGCGGAGGACAUGCGGCUGCAUGUUCAGGAUUUAUUGACCUGAAACCUUAGAGUUAGUGCAGAGAAACAAUACUUUACCGUGAACACGGAGAAUGGGAACAUACUUGUGAGUGACAGAAUAGAUCGAGAGUCACUGUCUUCAAAAUCCUCUGUGUCAUACCCUUAGAGAUUGUAGCAGAGAAUCCUCUAAAUGUUUUUCACAUAAAUGUGAUGAUAGAAGAUAUAAAUGAUAAUCCACCUCAUUUUCCCCCAAAAUAGCAUUGUUUUACAAAUCAAUGAACUAGCAAUUCCAGGCAUUCGGUUUGGCCUGGAAUCUGCUAUAGAUGCAGAUGUAGGGCCUCACUCUCUCCAGAGUUACCAGCUCAGUUCUAAUGAACAUUUCUCUCUGAUGAUGGACAAGACUAAAGGCAAGAACGCUCCAGAAUUAGUGCUGGAGAAGCCCCUGGGCCAGGAGCAACAGAGCUCUCAUCUCCUGGUCCUGAAAGCAAUGGACAUGGGUGACCCAGUCCUAACUGGCACUGCUGCAAUUCAAAUUGAGGUCACUGAUGCCAACGAUAAUGCCCCAGUUUUUAGCCAGGAUGUAUACAAAGUCAGCCUUAGAGAGAAUGUGCCCCCAGGCACCUCUGUACUAAAGGUGACAGCCACUGACCAGGAUGAGGGUGUCAAUGCGGAGAUCACCUACUCUUUCAAAUCCCUACGAGAUGAUAUUGGAAAUAUGUUUGUGCUAGACCAUCAAAAUGGGGAAAUUAAAUCCAAAGACUUAAUAGACUUCGAAUUUCGUAGCAGUUAUACCAUGAGAGUAGAAGCUAAGGAUGGUGGAGGCAUGACCAGCGAAUGUAAAAUUAUACUAGAAAUCCUAGAUGAGAACGACAAUGCCCCAGACGUGGUUUUUACUUCGGUGUCCAGUUCUGUAACUGAGACGCAGAACCCUGGACGGUGAUCACUCUGUUCAAAACACAUGAUAAAGAUUCGAGAGAAAAUGGGGACGUUACAUGCCUCAUAAACGAAAGAGUUCCUUUUAGAAUCGAAUCUUCCGCCAGUAAUGACUAUAAGCUUGUAACAGAUGGGACCCUGGAUUGGGAGCGGAUCCCGGAGUACAACGUCACCAUCACUGCCACUGACAAGGGCAAGCCUCCACUUUCAUCCAGCACAAGCCUCACCCUACGCAUUGGUGAAGUCAACGACAAUGCUCCGGUUUUCCACCAGGUCUCCUACGUGGUCCACGUGGCCGAAAACAACCUUCCCGGAGCCUCCAUCCCACAAGUCAGCGCCUCUGACCUGGACCUAGGGCUGAAUGGCCAAGUCUCCUACUCCAUCGUUACCACUGACUUGGAGCUGCGGGCACUGUCGUCCUACGUGUCCGUGAGCGCACAGAGUGGGGUGGUGGUCGCGCAGCGCGCCUUCGACCACGAGCAGCUGUGCGCCUUCGAGCUCACGAUGCAGGCCCACGACCAGGGAUCGCCCGCGCUCAGCGCCAACAUGAGCCGGCGCAUGUUGGUGGGCGACCUCAAUGACAAUGUGCCGCGGGUGCUGUACCCCGCGCUGGGGCCCGAUGGCUCUGCACUCUUCGAUAUAGUGCCACGCGCCGCAGAGUCCGGCUACCUGGUGACCAAGGUGGUGGCGGUGGACGCAGAAUCGGGACACAACGCUUGGCUGUCCUACCAGGUGCUGCAGGCCAUCGAGCCCGGGCUUUUCAGCCUGGGGCUGCACACGGGCAACCUGCUGGUUGCUGUGCGUGACGGAGGACAGCCGCCGCUCUCUGCGCCGCUACGCUUCACCUAGUCUUCGCAGACAGCCUGCAGGAGGCACUGCCAGACUUCAAUGA
This 1974-nucleotide small RNA is filed under the name Pan troglodytes (chimpanzee). RNAcentral describes it as "processed transcript". The record is from RNAcentral. Lineage: Eukaryota; Metazoa; Chordata; Mammalia; Primates; Hominidae.